Molecule: ribosomal RNA, 871 nt
Filed under: Escherichia coli
Lineage: Bacteria; Pseudomonadati; Pseudomonadota; Gammaproteobacteria; Enterobacterales; Enterobacteriaceae
Description: partial 23S ribosomal RNA
Rfam family: Bacterial large subunit ribosomal RNA
Source: RNAcentral
CGGCGGCCGUAACUAUAACGGUCCUAAGGUAGCGAAAUUCCUUGUCGGGUAAGUUCCGACCUGCACGAAUGGCGUAAUGAUGGCCAGGCUGUCUCCACCCGAGACUCAGUGAAAUUGAACUCGCUGUGAAGAUGCAGUGUACCCGCGGCAAGACGGAAAGACCCCGUGAACCUUUACUAUAGCUUGACACUGAACAUUGAGCCUUGAUGUGUAGGAUAGGUGGGAGGCUUUGAAGUGUGGACGCCAGUCUGCAUGGAGCCGACCUUGAAAUACCACCCUUUAAUGUUUGAUGUUCUAACGUUGACCCGUGAUCCGGGUUGCGGACAGUGUCUGGUGGGUAGUUUGACUGGGGCGGUCUCCUCCUAAAGAGUAACGGAGGAGCACGAAGGUUGGCUAAUCCUGGUCGGACAUCAGGAGGUUAGUGCAAUGGCAUAAGCCAGCUUGACUGCGAGCGUGACGGCGCGAGCAGGUGCGAAAGCAGGUCAUAGUGAUCCGGUGGUUCUGAAUGGAAGGGCCAUCGCUCAACGGAUAAAAGGUACUCCGGGGAUAACAGGCUGAUACCGCCCAAGAGUUCAUAUCGACGGCGGUGUUUGGCACCUCGAUGUCGGCUCAUCACAUCCUGGGGCUGAAGUAGGUCCCAAGGGUAUGGCUGUUCGCCAUUUAAAGUGGUACGCGAGCUGGGUUUAGAACGUCGUGAGACAGUUCGGUCCCUAUCUGCCGUGGGCGCUGGAGAACUGAGGGGGGCUGCUCCUAGUACGAGAGGACCGGAGUGGACGCAUCACUGGUGUUCGGGUUGUCAUGCCAAUGGCACUGCCCGGUAGCUAAAUGCGGAAGAGAUAAGUGCUGAAAGCAUCUAAGCACGAAACUUGCC